GAGUUCAUGCCCUCACGGGUAGAUCUCCCACCCUUGAAUAUUAUACCUUCGUUGCUUUGGCAGGCCGUGGAAACACCAGAGGCUCCGGCUGAUGCGUGCCUGCCAGAGGAAACAAACCCUGUUUGUCUAUAAUGUCUGAGUACUAUAUAAUAGUUAAAACUUUCAACAACGGAUCUCUUGGUUCU
This 185-nucleotide unclassified non-coding RNA is filed under the name rhizosphere metagenome. RNAcentral describes it as "partial ribosomal RNA internal transcribed spacer region". The record is from RNAcentral.